This is a long non-coding RNA of Setaria italica (foxtail millet), 1775 nucleotides long. RefSeq lists it as uncharacterized. NCBI's taxonomy places the organism in Eukaryota, Viridiplantae, Streptophyta, Magnoliopsida, Poales, Poaceae. The record is from RefSeq and is a predicted model, not a curated record. The transcript is spliced from 2 exons.
CACAGUCCCACCUAGCCCACUCGCAGGCGCGGAGCGAACCACCCUCCUCCCAGUCUACCCAGCUCGGCUCCGCUCGUCAGCUACAACGCGCGAAUUCUGCUGGCUCGGCUCUGGGCGAUAGUACCCGACGCCGCAAAUUGCUCCUGUUCCCCGUUGACCAUCACAAACCCAAAUCUCCAUCGCGUGAUUCGUUGGCCGCCAGACGCCGCCGGCGACGAUCCCGUCCCACACUCGCAGCUUCAAAUCGGCUCGCAUCGCUAUCCCUGGCCAUCCGACGACCCGCCGCUGCUCUAUUCCUUAUCCCCACAAAUUGUGCCUGUUUCCUAAUCCACACCGCCGGAAAACUCCCGAAAUCCCCAUCCCCAUCCCCAUCGAUUCCUUUCGCCGCCGCCCUCGGCAGAAACGGCGUCGAUCCGGCCUGCAUCGAGGAUGUGCUGCCGGAGAAGCUCCGGAUCCAGAUUCCUCGGUGCACGAGACCAUUCGUCGGUGAUACUGUGAGGCUGCUUUGUGGGCAGGGGAUCGGAAGGCAGCUGUCCAUGAUGUGUGUGUCGUAGCAGCCGAUGGUCCGACAUAAUCCAGGUGGAUCUGGGCGCAACAGAAGAUUGGAGUAUUCAGGUUUCUGAUUUUCUUUUGGAUUGAUCGGGGAUCCAGCCCUGCGGCCAUAGGCUCCAGAGUUGAGCAGCGGCAAAUUAAAUCCCCCAUACUCAUUAGGCCUCAAGACAUUCGUUUAGAUUAGGAGCUGAUUCCCUCUAGAUCAUGAUUUUGUUUCCUCACUGUACGUCUAUUCCUUUUAGCAUUUUCCAUUGAUCUAUUUAGCCGUCACGAAUUGGGAUUUCUUGUAGUAGCCAUAUCAUCUGAAUUUCGAUUCUACAUCCAUAUCUUUUCAUUCAGAUUUCAAGGUAUUCAGUGACAUUGCACUAUUCUUAAUACAUCAUAUUAUAGUAAAUUUUAAGAAAUUAUUUUCAAAAUUAAAUGGCAUAGAAGGAAUAGGAUACGAUGAUGUGAUUUCCACUGCUUGGAUACUAGAUUAAGAGCAUCAUUGGCUGGAUACUAGAUUAAGAGCAUCAUUGGCCGAUCUGUGAAAAUGGCAUAGAUAAUUCCAAGAUGUGAAGUGGAUUAGUAUGGCUUUCAUUGGCUGCCGCUCAGCAUCAGUGGCAACCAGUGCCAGUUAGCUAGCUACUUAUGGGUUUGCUUGGAGUAGAGAAUUAUUAUUCUGACAUAUUUCAAUAUAUCAUGAAAGCUUAGUAAAUUUCUCAUGUCAUUUAUUACUGCUAUUCCUUUCAUGAUGAUUUUUAGGAGAUGGUGUCUCAUUGGCAACUGCAGUGGAGACUACAAUCAUUUACUUUACAGAGCACCCAAAGAGCAUUGGAGCUGCCAGUUCCAUCACAUGGGCUAUCUGAAGAAGCCCAACUAAAGUGAGGAUGAUGACGAAUGCAUGCAGCAAAACAUAUGAAAGAUCUUCAAAGUAGCUGGCUGUGUGAUGUGCACCUUCGAAGACAGUGUGUAUGUGCUGUGCUGCAAACCUGCAAUGCCAGGUAGAAUGUGCAAGCAAAGCAAUCCAGAUUGUAUCAAUUUCAAUAUUUUUCCUCCUGCUUGGCAUGAUAUAUUGCAAGUACCGCAUCGCUGCUGUCAUUUGUAAUCCAGCCAAUUCGGCAGUCAUAUUGCUCCAAUUUAACUCUGUCUAAUACUAACUUCAAAACAUAUCGUUUCCUGUAACAUGGACCCUGAUUGUGAAUGAAAGAACUUGUGAAUGCAGGAGCCAUCCGGUACCUUCA